UCUCCCUUUCCUCCAGCCACGGAGGAGACGAUCUAAGAGCGAUAACGAUAGCUGACGAAGGCGCUGACGAAGAGAACCGCUCGAAAGGGAAUUAUUAUUUUCCGCCAUCAUGAGACUCACGUGCGUCUCAGCGGCGGCGGCGGCGACGUGCCUGCUCCUCCUCCUCGCCCCCUCCCCCUCCCCUGCCUCCCCCCUCCCCGAGGCCAGCCCAGAGCCCACUUUCUGGUG
Molecule: long non-coding RNA, 228 nt
Filed under: Penaeus japonicus
Lineage: Eukaryota; Metazoa; Arthropoda; Malacostraca; Decapoda; Penaeidae
Description: uncharacterized LOC122245065
Source: RNAcentral